CUGCCCCUUCCUGCCGCCGCGGCGAGUGCUUGGUCUCUGGUAAGCCGAGUGCCCCGCUCCUGGGAGCGGCCUUUGCUCUGCUCGGACCUCUCGUUUUGGUAGCUUGUCCCCAGUUAACGGCCGGGAGUUUCCCUGUACACAGCUCUCGUUUUCUCUUCAGCUUGGGAGCUUGUUGCAAGGGGCGCCAGAGCCCUGCAGGGCAGGUGCUGCUUUGUUUCCCUCUUCUCCCACCUAGUACCGUAUCCYGCAUUUGUKAACUCCUGCCUUGGAACYGGACACAGCGGCAUCACCUGGCGCRGCCUUYGCAGCCCAGGGAUGGGUCCCUGGUUGCGGUUUACUUCCAGCGCAGAAGUUUGGCUCCUCCUUUAAGUCAUGGAACCAGCUGCUGUUCCAGCUUAGAAGUGGUAUUCAACGGUAUAGACCCUACGAGCUGCGUUUUCCACCCAGUUCCCGUCUCCUAAGACAGCAAUUUUUGUUCUGUCCCCUAAAACAGCAGCCCCAGGUUUCAGCAAGAGCCCGGUGACUCCUUUCCAUCUCUGCCCUGCGAGGGAGGCAGUCGGCACAGAGGAACUGUGCCGAGAGGCAUCCGGGCACCGCAUCGCGGCAGAGGAAGCCUGUUGGCAGCCGGGACCCRGCGCUUUCAGAAAGGGAUGCAGGGAUGACAGCUGCCUCUCAUCUGGGACGUGUUGGAAAAGAAGCRAGUAGAAGUUAAGCUGGCAAGUGUAGGAACUUCUUCUGGUGGGAGRAAUGCCAGYGGAUCGCCCAGGAAGACGCGAAGGACGGCUUUGUGCCAGCCCUCCACGGGGUUUCUGCUAUGUAACGCYGCCUCUAGCAACAAGCUGGAGAGGAGCUCGAGACRCCUGGGUCGGAGAUGCCCUGCGAGCUUUGCCCUUGCAGACAGGGGACCUCGGCUGGCUCCCGGGGCUGCGUCAGGUGAACAAGCCUGGCCAGGCACAGAGCGGCCGCACAGGAGCGUCUCUGCCAGGCCGGUCUCUGCUCAGA
This 1002-nucleotide long non-coding RNA is filed under the name Apteryx owenii (little spotted kiwi). Its description in RNAcentral is "lncRNA (ENSAOWG00000019210.1)". Lineage: Eukaryota; Metazoa; Chordata; Aves; Apterygiformes; Apterygidae. The record is from RNAcentral.